Molecule: long non-coding RNA, 695 nt
Organism: Cucurbita pepo subsp. pepo (vegetable marrow)
Lineage: Eukaryota; Viridiplantae; Streptophyta; Magnoliopsida; Cucurbitales; Cucurbitaceae
Source: RefSeq, a predicted model, not a curated record
CAGAGAGAAAAAAGAGAGCGCGAUCCGCUUCGGGCUUCCCUUUUUCGCGCCCUAAUCUGCACUCAUUUGCGAUUUUUCUUCCUGAUGAUUUGAUGGAACUGGAAGAUCAUUUGACGAUAAACGGAUCAUAGACAGCGCGCGGACCUUCGAUCUUAGGAUCAGGAUCAGGCUCGUAGCUGUUGCUGUGUAAUAGGUUCUCGACAGAAAUUUCAAUGGCGAUAUUCUUAGCGUGUUCGAAUUUCUAUAUGUCUUCGAUACAAUGAAAUGCGAUGCUACUCUGGUUCAAAUUAUAAUCUUCCAACCGAAAACUGAUUAGCUUUGAUUUCGAACUUCGUAUAUGAAAUAGUAUCGAAGGAAAGCAAAGGUUAUCUACUAGCACACCUUGAGCUGAAUGUGUCCUUUACACAGACAAUUGAAUUUGAGAUGUCUCCUGUUUCAGAAAGGUAACGAAGCACGUUUUAGAUGUAAAAUGACCGUUUACUAUCAUCCAAUACGCGUUGUCUGUUCAUUGAAUUGUCAUUUCCACACUUUGGGGCAAAUUAUUUCACUCAGUUGAGUUUCUACUUCUGUAAUUUAUUUGGUUUUCAAUUGUUCUGCGACUCCUUGUAGUUAAUCAUGUCUGUAGUUAUAUUGCAUCCAUUAUGUAUCUAAUUCGAACAUACUUGGUUGUAAACUAACAAUGCAAGGAAGCUAUA